GCAAUAACAGGUCUGUGGCAAUAACAGGUCUGUGAUGCCCUUAGAUGUUCUGGGCCGCACGCGCGCUACACUGAUGCAUUCAACGAGCCUAGCCUUGACCGAGAGGUCCGGGUAAUCUUUGAAACUGCAUCGUGAUGGGGAUAGAUUAUUGCAAUUAUUAAUCUUCAACGAGGAAUGCCUAGUAAGCGCAAGUCAUCAGCUUGCGUUGAUUACGUCCCUGCCCUUUGUACACACCGCCCGUCGCUCCUACCGAUUGGGUGUGCUGGUGAAGUGUUCGGAUUGGCGACCGGGGGCGGUCUCCGCUCUCGGCCGCCGAGAAGUUCAUUAAACCCUCCCACCUAGAGGAAGGAGAAGUCGUAACAAGGUUUCCGUAGGUGAACCUGCGGAAGGAUCAUUGAAUCGAUCGAAUCCACCCUGGUAACUAUCAUCCCCUGCUUGGCAGCAAUGUCAUGCGGGCGCCGGUCCCCUGGUUGGGGCUCCUCGGAGCCGCAUCUAGGUCCGGCGGGCCCUUCUCCCCCGGGUGUCUCCUCUCUCCAUAAACCCAUUGGRAUCUUUUCCAGUGGGCGGCGUGAGGUGCCUCGUGGGGCUGCGGUGGUCGAUAAUUUAUAUUCAACUCAACCCACCCCAAACCUCAACUCACUCUGAAGCUGUCUAGUGUGUGCGCUCCGGUGCCUCACUCUAACCAAUGACAACUCUCAACAACGGAUAUCUUGGCUCCCGUAUCGAUGAAGAACGCAGCGAAAUGCGAUACGUARUGUGAAUUGCAGAAUUCCGUGAACCAUCGAAUCUUUGAACGCAAAUUGCGCCCGAGGCUUCGGCCAAGGGCAUGUCUGCCUCAGCGUCGGCUUACACCCUCGCCCUCCCCCUCCUUUGGAGGGGUAUGGGCGGACCUGGCCUUCCCGGCUCCUUGUCGAUUUAUCGGCGAGCCCGGGUCGGCUGAAGUGUAGAGGCUUGAGCAUGGACCCCGUUUGUAGGGCAAUGGCUUGGUAGGUAGCUCCGCUACAUAGCCUGCCGUGGCCCGAGGGGACUUUGCUGGCGGCCCCGCAGGAAUUCGGUGUGUGGUCUCUCCUUUCGAGGGGCGGCCGCCCCGAAUGUCUCACACCUUCGACCUGAGCUCAGGCAAGACUACCCGCUGAACUUAAGCAUAUCAAUAAGCGGAGGAAAAGAAACUAACUAGGAUGCCCUUAGUAACGGCGAGCGAACCGGGCAAAGCCCAACUUGAAAAUCUCCAGCCUCCGGCUGGCGAAUUGUAGUCUAGAGAAGUGCUCUCUGUCUCAGUCCGGUCCCAAGUCCCCUGGAAAGGGGCGUCAGAGAGGGUGAGAACCCCGUUGGGACUGGAGCCUGAGGCUCCACGAGACGCUUUCGAAGAGUCGGGUUGCUUGGGAAUGCAGCCCAAAGCAGGUGGUAAAUCCCAUCUAAGGCUAAAUACAGACGGGAGACCGAUAGCGAACAAGUACCGUG
This 1461-nucleotide ribosomal RNA is filed under the name Chlorellaceae sp. MCWWS27. Its description in RNAcentral is "eukaryotic LSU rRNA". The record is from RNAcentral. Lineage: Eukaryota; Viridiplantae; Chlorophyta; Trebouxiophyceae; Chlorellales; Chlorellaceae.